UAAAUAAAAACCAAAUAGAGGUAUUUCAUUGUUAAUGAAAUUAUUGAUAUUUAGAUUAUUAUUUUA
This 66-nucleotide transfer RNA is filed under the name Cecidomyiidae sp. 3 LC-2017. Its description in RNAcentral is "tRNA-Asn". Lineage: Eukaryota; Metazoa; Arthropoda; Insecta; Diptera; Cecidomyiidae. The record is from RNAcentral.